RNAcentral lists this transfer RNA (74 nucleotides) under Parcubacteria group bacterium CG11_big_fil_rev_8_21_14_0_20_39_22. RNAcentral describes it as "tRNA-Gln". It matches the Rfam family "tRNA". Rfam says of the family: Transfer RNA (tRNA) molecules are approximately 80 nucleotides in length. Their secondary structure includes four short double-helical elements and three loops (D, anti-codon, and T loops). Further hydrogen bonds mediate the characteristic L-shaped molecular structure. tRNAs have two regions of fundamental functional importance: the anti-codon, which is responsible for specific mRNA codon recognition, and the 3' end, to which the tRNAs corresponding amino acid is attached (by aminoacyl-tRNA synthetases). tRNAs cope with the degeneracy of the genetic code in two manners: having more than one tRNA (with a specific anti-codon) for a particular amino acid; and 'wobble' base-pairing, i.e. permitting non-standard base-pairing at the 3rd anti-codon position. The record is from RNAcentral.
UGCCGGAUCGUCUAAUGGUAGGACGCUUGGUUUUGGUCCAAGUAAUUGGGGUUCGAGUCCCUGUCCGGCAGCAA